RNAcentral lists this transfer RNA (70 nucleotides) under Etheostoma tallapoosae (Tallapoosa darter). RNAcentral describes it as "tRNA-Pro". It matches the Rfam family "tRNA". From Rfam's summary of the family: Transfer RNA (tRNA) molecules are approximately 80 nucleotides in length. Their secondary structure includes four short double-helical elements and three loops (D, anti-codon, and T loops). The record is from RNAcentral. Lineage: Eukaryota; Metazoa; Chordata; Actinopteri; Perciformes; Percidae.
CAAAGAAUAGUUUAACUUAGAAUCCUAGCUUUGGGAGCCAGGGGUGGGAGUUAAAAUCUCCUUUCUUUGA